Molecule: long non-coding RNA, 1242 nt
Filed under: Cyanistes caeruleus (blue tit)
Lineage: Eukaryota; Metazoa; Chordata; Aves; Passeriformes; Paridae
Description: lncRNA (ENSCCEG00000000978.1)
Source: RNAcentral
CCUCCAGAGAUGCCUCCAGCAUGGCCUGGCAUCCUCAGGAUGGGCUGCCCCUGCUGAUCCAGGGUCUUCUGAUUCCUUCAGUGCAAAUGAGCAUUGGGAUUGUAUUUUUAAAUUCUCUUUUCUUUUUUUUUUUUUUUUUUCCCAUGUAUUGCAGGUGCUCUCUGCAGAAGAACAAGACAUCUUGUGCACUUUCCUCCUACCUUAGCCAAAUUGGAGUUUAUCCUAAUGGGGAAUUAAUUGCAACCCUCUGGGUGUGGCUGCUUACACACCCCUGUUGGAAAAGCACCCCGGGGCCUUCUGAGAGGUCAUUCACCCUUUGGUUCUGUGUGCAUCAGUCAAUUCUCUGUGGAUUGCAGCAGUGUCUGUGUAGGAGGGAUGGGUGGAGGGAGCUGGGUGGAUAAUGGAGGACCUGCCUGUUGUGGAAGCUGUGGGUGUUUCUGGCAGCUCACAGUUGCUGCACCGUGCUCCAAGCCCUUGCAGCCAAUGCACAUUUGUGUCUGCUCCUGCUCCCCAGUUUCUGCUCCAGUCCCCUCAGGGGAACCCCUUGGCUGCUGCACCAGUUUCACCUGUCUGCUCUCUGCCCUCUAUGGAUGACAUUAUCUUCACUUGGAUUGAAUUUGAAGGGAAUAAUCUAUAAGCAUUCUGGUCUCAAAGUACAUUUCUAGACACGGGAGCUUUUGCCAGGGCCUGUCAGGUUCAGUGGGAAACUGGGACUCAGGCAGGAUGUUAAUCUGCCUGACUUUUUUCUGGCAGCUCUGAUCUUUCCAGGCUAAUACUUGGCAAGAAUGAUAUUAACUAAACCAUUGAUCUUCCAAGGUCCUUCCAUAGCUGAUGAAUGCUUUUUGUGGCUUCUUCUCUUACUGAUAAUUUAUUUUAAGAAUAACAAGCUGUCUUACCGCUCUCCCUGGUGAGCAGAGCUCCAGGUGCCUUUCUACUGAGGCUGGCAGUGCUACUGUCAUUAUGCAACUGGGGAAACUUGAAGGACAGAGAUCAAGCUACCCACAAGCAAACUGAUCAGAAAAAAUCAGGGUGAAAUUCAGAGAAAAGUCUUUCCCCAACAGCUCCCAUACCAGCCUGAGUCGAGGAGCGUAUGGGUGAGAUUUGGUGUGUAAUGGGCUCUAGCAAAAGGGGAAGGAUGGAGGCAAUGUUCCCAAACCAUGCUUUCCGUUAAUUAAUUUGCCCUUCAAAUGAGAUUUUUGUGCUGGGAAUAAAUCUGUGUCCAUGCUGGCUCCCUGGUUAGAU